CCUUCAACAUUGCCUCUAUUGGCAUAAUCCCACAAUAAAUCGCAGAAGAAAGUUACAAUUUGUUUUGAAUAUUUAAUAGAUUGACGAGAAAUAAUGUGUGGGAAGGAUUGAUUCAAUUCCUCUCCAAUCCAUAAAAUAGCCAUAUAUUUUCAGUACUUCUACUUCUUCUUUUGAUUAUCUAUUACAUAAGUAACAAAAAUGUUUUAGAACAAUAUAACAUGAGUGGUUUACCGUGUGGUUGGUAGCACCGCCAAGGAAAAUCUGGGUUACGGUUUUGGGUCCGAUGGGAUAACAAGGGUGGGUUACAACCUCUUUUAUUUUCUACUUAAAAAUAAAUACUUUUUAAUUUAGUUUAUAUUAUUUUUUUAUAAUCUUUUUGACCACCAUUCUUUAAUGACCACAUGCUAUCUUGAUCAGAAGCUGAACAUAAAAAGAUGUGAGGAAGUCAGGCUGCUACAUGCAUUGAAGAAGCUGAUUCUGGCUAUCAUAGGAUUGAUCAUUCUAAAAAUGAGUUGAAACUUUGUUCUUGAAUUUCAAUUCAUGUUUCGCUUGAAAAAACCUGAAAAUCAUCACAAACAAAAGAAAUAAAUAAAAAUUUUGCCCCAGUUUUCACGGGAAAUUUUUUAUAAGUUAUUAGAAAAUGUGAAUUUAAAAUAAAUAACUAAAUAAACUCAGACUAGGAAGUGUUUAUCCUAGAAGAAAGUAACCAAAUCUCAUUGUGUAGGAUGGUCCUACUAAUCCCAUUGUCCAGAAGGAUCCUGCUAAUAUGAAACUCAUUGUUUAAGAAGAUCCUGCUAUACUAAUUCUCAUCAUUUAGGAGGGUCCUGCUACUCUCGUUCUCAUUGUUUAUGAGGUUACUACUACUCUAAUUCCCAUUGUUUAGAAGGAUCCUGCUAAUCUAAUUCUUAUUGUUUUGGAGGGUCCUGCUAAUCUAAUUCUCAUUGGAUAGGAGGGUCUUACUACUGUAAUUCUCAUUGGUUAGGAGGGUCAUGCUAGUCUGAUUCUUAUUGUUUAGGAAGGUUCUUCUAGUUUAAUUCCCAUUAGUUAAGAGGGUCUGCCAAUCUAAUUCUCAUUGUUUAGGAGGGUACUGCCACUAUAAUUCUCAUUGUUUAGUACGGUAAUGCUACUCUAAUUUACAUUGUUUAGGAGGGUCCUGCUACUCUAAUUCUCAUUGUUUAUGAGGGUCUUGCUACUAAAAUUCUCAUUGUUUAUGAGGGUCCUGCUACUCUAUUUAUCAUUGUUUAUGAGGGUCAUGCUACUCUAAUUCUCAUUGUUUAGGAGGGUUCUGCUGCUCUAUUUCUCAUUGUUUAGAAGGUUUCUUCUAUUCUUAUUCUCAUUCUCGUUGUUUAAGAAGGUUCUGCUACUCUAAUUCUCUUUGUUUAUGAGGGUCCUACUACACUAAUUUCUAUUAUGAUGAAGGUCCUGCGCUAAUUCUCAUUAUUUAGGAGGUCCUGCUAAACUAAAUCUCAUUGUCUAUGAGGGUCCUGCUAAAAUAAAUCUCAUUGUCAAUGAGGGUCCUGCUACACUAAUCUCCUUGUCUAGAAGGGUCCUGCUAAACUAAAUUUCAUUGUCCAGGAGGGUCCUGUUAAUCCCACUUUCCAUGAGGGUCCUGCCAAAGUAUAUCUCAUUGUCCGGGUGGAUCCUGCUAAAUAAAUCACAUUGUACAAGAGGGUUCUGCACUUCUGCUACACUAAUUCUCAUUAUUCUGGAGGGUCCUGCUGGUCUUAUUAUCCAUGAGGGUGAUGCUAGUCUCAUUAUCCAGGAGAGUCUUGCUAAUCCCAUUAUCACGGAGGAUCCUGCGUCCCAUUGUGAGGAGAGUCCUCAUAAUUUAUUUAUCCACGAAGGUUCUGCUAGUCCCAUUGUGAGGAGGGUCCUAAUAAUCCCAUUGUGAGGAUAGUCCUGUUGAAUUAAAUCCAUUAUGAGGAGGGUACUACUAAUUUCACUAUGACUAGCCUCAUUGUGAGGAGGGUCCUUCUAAACUAAAUCUCAUUACUCAAGAAUAUCUUACUAAACAAAAUCAUUUGAAAUCACCAUAACAUUUUUAAUUUUAGCCCAGUUCACACGAGAAAAUAUUUUUUAUGGGUUAUUAGCAUGUAUGACAGAUUUCUAUACCAAAAGAAAAAUGCAAAACAAAAUGCAAUUAGGAUGUCUUUUUCCUAGAAAUGAAUGAAGAUAGAGUGUUUGUUUUCUAGAAUCGGUAGUGAUUUUUUAAAAAAAAAAAACUAAUAAAAAUCUGCCCCACUUUUUAAAUUGAGAAAAUUUGGAACUCUUUUUAAUUUAUUAUUUUUUACAUUUUUAAAAAAAAAAAUCAAUUUUGAUCAUUCAAGGAUAUAAGAUUUUAUAUUGUGAGACCAACUUAUUGUAGGAUCGCCUAUGUAUCCUGUAUUUAAAGAAUCAAGUCAAUCAUAGUUCAUAAUAAAUCAAAAAAAUACUUUUAUUUUUCUUGACAUUUCCUACAAAAGACAUCAUUUGAGAAAUAAAUUUGUUCAUAGUUGACAAUAUUUUUACUCUAGUGUGUACCAACAAUUAGUAUUAUGCAUAUAAAUCACCUUCAACUACUUUCUGACAAAGUUGAGGUCAACUUUGAGUAAUCCCUAUAAUUUCAAGUGGUAUUUCAAACAUACUCAAGCAUUUACAAGAUGAGUUCAUCUUGCCUGGGUUAAAGGAUAAAGUUAAUCAUAUCCUCAUGUUUCAAGUGCCCUUACAACAAAUGAAGUCCUAUUUCACACUUAAUAGUGCUAUGAUCUUAAGACAUUUUCAAAGUCACUCAUACUUGGAAAGAUGUUCGAUGCAUGAGAUUGAGAUACCAUAUGUUUGACCCUCAUGUAGAUAUCCACUAAUGUUAGAACAUUAAAAAUGAGAUCAAAUAGAGUUUGUCAUUGACUGUUGUUUUAGGGAAUUGUAUGAUAUUUAUUUGAGAUAAAAUGACUUUUCAUCCUUAAAAUUUACACAAUACUCUCAAUAUUUUUUCAUUUUCACAUUUGACCUUUGUUUUCUUGACUUCUCCUCAUUUAUCUUUCGUCUUGUUUUUCUUAUUUUCUCUCCUCUUUGUUGGAGAUUCUUUUUCAUUUUUCAUUCUAUAUUUUCUUUGUCGUCAUUUUUUUGAUUACAUGACCAACGGAUAUUGAAUUAUGAUUAAUAAUACAAUAAAAAAACUACACUUCAUACCAAAUUAAAAGUAUGUUUUAUGGGAAAAUUUUGUUAUCACAACAACUCGAAACAUUUAUUUAGUGUAUCACUUCUAUAUUAUGUGCCUUAUACAUUAAUGCCAACUAUUUUAUAUAUAUAUUUUUUACUAGUGAUAGGAGAGACGAGGACAUGAAAAUCAUGAUAAGCGAAAGAACUCUUGUGAGCAAAUCCAAAAACCGCAUGUCUAUACGUGAAAUGUCUAUCAGUUAAUGUAUGAUGUGAUGAUAUAAAGUCUAUUCAUUCUUAGCACGAUCAAUUAGUCAGGGUACAAUUAUAUCUAAAAGACAAUUUCUAACAACACAUGAAGGAUGGACAUAAAAAUUAUUCUCUAUUAGCUAUGGUUUUAAAAUCCUAAAACAUAAGCGUACAAUUUCUAACUACUAAAGCCAUGAAGUAUCAUAUUGAAGAAAUGUGCAUCUUAAAUAGAACAAACUUUCUAGAGUAAUGAUCUCUAAUCUAUCAAAUGAAAACUUAAGGUAUUUUAGGCAGUAAAUAGUAUGAAGGUUCAUUUAUAAAUUAAAUAACAAAAUAAUUAAUGAUGAUACACUCAUGACUCCAUACAAUUUUGAAGAUAGUGGACAUUCAACAUGAUAAUGUCAAAUAAUGAAAGUUAACAAAUUUGGAUCAGGAAAUUUGAGAUCAAAAUCAAAUACUCGGUGGGCUACCAAAACCUACUUAGAAGCUGCACUUGAUAACAUAUUACGGUAUAAGAAAUUUCUCAACUUUAUCCCAAAAAGGUGGGAUGGCAUAUGAUAAAGACUAAGAAAAUAACUAAAAUUGAGUUAAUAUAUCAAAAAGUCACUCUACAUUAAAAAGUUAUCUAUAUAACAAAGUCAUUGAACUUUGACUUGUAUAAAGAAAAAGUCACUCAACUUAUAUUAUUAAAUUAAUUAAAUCACAACUAAAUUUAUUAUUGGACUAUUUACUGGCAUUGGUGGCUGUUGUAGGAAAGGAUAGUUCUGAAAAUUUAUAAAUCUAAGAAAAUAUGUGAAAUGAAAACAAAAGCAAAGAAGGGUGAUUUCUUGAAAAUUAGUGUUAUCGUUGGUAGAAGCAAAAUAUUUGUUGCUAUGGUCACAAGAACUCAUACAACACUUGAAGGACCAUGUUUUUCAUAGUUUGUGUCAUCUGAUUGAGAUUUGCUAGCUUAUUUUGUAUUGACAUGUAGAUGCAUCGGUCAAUAGAUGAAAAAGUCUGGUAAGUGAAGGUUAACAGAGGAGGACCUUUAGUUACAUGUAAAAAGUUAUCCUGUAAGAUCCACAAUCUUGGUAUCAAUGCAGAUGAAAGAAAAAUAUAUGGUGAUAUCUAUAAGGUGAGGAUAGAUUUAACUUAAUUUUCACGUUUAUUUUCUUUAUUAUGAUAACUAAUGAAUUGAAAAGGAAUACCUGACGAUUCAUUUAGCCAAUCCCAACUUAUUUGUAUUAGAGGUGUAAUUGUGGUUGUAUGUUAUUCUGUUGUUUUUAAAGGUAAAAUCAUUACUUGUAUAGUUGCAUUUCAGCAAGAGUUAAUACAAAAUAUUCAUGGCCAGUUUGUACGUUCUUUCCUUACAGUAGUUGUGUGCAAAUGUCUUUUUAAUGGUAAAUUUAGUUGAGUGAUUUCAUUGAUACAAUAACCUAAGUUGAGCAAUCUCAUUAAUACAAAACAAAGUUUAAUGACUUCGUUAGAUAAAUUUUCUAAUGUGAAUGACCUUUUAAGAUGUAUUAUCCUAAAAGCUCCAGUAAUGUAAAAGAAAAAAAACUAGCAACCAACACCACGUAAUUGAGAAGCACAACUAUAUCACUUCUUAGACUCAAACUAUAAAUUAACCGAUAAUUUUCAUUUCAAGAUUAAAAAAAAAUAUAAAAUAGUAUGCAAACUACAACAAGUCCAUAACAUAUAUAAGGAUCUAAAAAUAUAGAAUAUCAUAAAUCACCAAUAAUAAAAAAGUAUAGCCAUUUAUACUUUGAUUUCUAGAGGCAACAGCAAAUGAAGUGCCCCCAAUUUAAAUAUAAUGAAGGAUAAAACUAAAAAUCUAUACUCCAAAUUAUGAAAUAUGCAACUAAAUUACCUUUGACACUUACACCUACCUAUCCAUUGUAACAUGGUGGAAGAAAUCUUCCUUUAAACUUUAACUAAAUGGGAAAUAUAUAAUUAUACAAGGACAAGAGAAAAACAAAAAGAACAAAAAGAAGUGAAAUACAAGUAUCACUUACCUAAGUAAAAAAUUCUCAGGUACAGAAUUAUACUAUGCGAGCUUAACAGGCUAGUUGAUAACAAAUUAAAAUAUGGAAUGGCUAAUCUCUGCCUCCAAAAUUAAACAUGUUAGAUCCUAGAUGAUUUAAAUAGCAAAGAUAUCAUAAAUCUUCUACUACUAUUUCUACUUUUUUUUUAAUAUGUUUCACUACAUGAUACAAUCAGAAACUAAAAAAAAGGUAUACGCAUGCAUAAAUGGACUUAUCAAAUAGCUAAUGAAAAAAAAAUUUUAAGGUACUCCUAUAGAAAAAAGAUGAUUCAGAAACUUAGCCAAUGAUACAUGUAAACUCAAUUGCCUCCUGCAACAACAUCGAUCCAAUCACAACGUACUCCAAUUCUAACCUUCUAAUUAUUACAUAAAAAUAUAUAUAGUAUAGGUAAUUCCAAGUAAAAAAAAUGAAAACAAAAUAUGAACUUUUGAAACUUUUGGCAACAAUUUAACGUUCAAAGGAGAGGUAAUGGUUACUCGUCUUAUAAAUUGGCUAGACAUCCGACUUGAAAUUCUUACAAGAUAAGGCAAUAUUUUUUAUUAAAUGCUUUGGUAAUUGAAAAACAAAGGAGAAGUGCGUGGAUAUUACCUCUUUUGUUUUUAAUUUUUCACUCAACAACGAUUACAGAAAUUUGUUGUCACAGGGGCGCUGCUUAGCAAUUCGACCUUCCAAACUCAAGCCUGUAAAUUUUCAAAAAAUCAAUCUUUUUUUUAUGUAAACUGACUGUUGAUACAAUUUCACAUAUAAAAUAGCGAUACCCAAAUAUGUUAAAAUAUGUGAAUUAGGUCUAGAGAGAAACCUGAAAAUGUCGGUCACCCAAUUUACAUGAGCAAGAUGCAGAUGUAUUGAAGAUUAGGGCUGAAAAGAAAAAUUCUUCUUUGAAGGAGAAGGGAUAGGGUUUCCACGAGUAGGAGAUAAAAAAUAAAG
RNAcentral lists this long non-coding RNA (6335 nucleotides) under Solanum lycopersicum (tomato). RNAcentral's name for it is "long non-coding RNA (SLYC_LNC000121)". Lineage: Eukaryota; Viridiplantae; Streptophyta; Magnoliopsida; Solanales; Solanaceae. The record is from RNAcentral.